RNAcentral lists this transfer RNA (76 nucleotides) under Klebsiella pneumoniae. RNAcentral describes it as "tRNA-Lys". It matches the Rfam family "tRNA". Rfam says of the family: Transfer RNA (tRNA) molecules are approximately 80 nucleotides in length. Their secondary structure includes four short double-helical elements and three loops (D, anti-codon, and T loops). Further hydrogen bonds mediate the characteristic L-shaped molecular structure. tRNAs have two regions of fundamental functional importance: the anti-codon, which is responsible for specific mRNA codon recognition, and the 3' end, to which the tRNAs corresponding amino acid is attached (by aminoacyl-tRNA synthetases). tRNAs cope with the degeneracy of the genetic code in two manners: having more than one tRNA (with a specific anti-codon) for a particular amino acid; and 'wobble' base-pairing, i.e. permitting non-standard base-pairing at the 3rd anti-codon position. Lineage: Bacteria; Pseudomonadati; Pseudomonadota; Gammaproteobacteria; Enterobacterales; Enterobacteriaceae. The record is from RNAcentral.
GGGUGUUUGGCUCAGUUGGUAGAGCAGUUGACUUUUAAUCAAUUGGUCGCAGGUUCGAAUCCUGCACGACCCACCA